Molecule: ribosomal RNA, 350 nt
Filed under: uncultured bacterium
Lineage: Bacteria
Description: bacterial SSU rRNA
Rfam family: Bacterial small subunit ribosomal RNA
Source: RNAcentral
GGGCCCGCACAAGCGGUGGAGCAUGUGGUUUAAUUCGAUGAUACGCGAGGAACCUUACCAGGGCUUAAAUGUAAGUUGCAUUAGUUAGAGAUAGCUAUUUCUUCGGACUACUUACAAGGUGCUGCAUGGUUGUCGUCAGCUCGUGCCGUGAGGUGUCAGGUUAAGUCCUAUAACGAGCGCAACCCCUGUUGUUAGUUGCCAUCGAGUCAUGUCGGGAACUCUAACAAGACUGCCGGUGCAAACCGUGAGGAAGGUGGGGAUGACGUCAAAUCAUCAUGGCCCUUACGGCCUGGGCUACACACGUGCUACAAUGGCUAGGACAGACGGCCGCAAACCCGCGAGGGGGAGCC